AUGUCUAGGGNNUCUGAGAGAAGGUCCCCCACACUGGUACUGAGACACGGACCAGACUCCUACGGGAGGCAGCAGUGAGGAAUAUUGGUCAAUGGGCGAAGGCUGAACCAGCCAUGUCGCGUGAAGGAAGACGGUUCUAUGGAUUGUAAACUUCUUUUGUACGGGAAUAAUGUGACCCA
Molecule: ribosomal RNA, 179 nt
Filed under: marine snow associated bacterium Adriatic80
Lineage: Bacteria
Description: partial 16S ribosomal RNA
Rfam family: Bacterial small subunit ribosomal RNA
Source: RNAcentral